UACCCGCAGCACAAGUGGUGGUCAUUAUUAUUGGGCCUAAAGCGUCCGUAGCUGGCCUGGUAGAUGCCUGGGUAAAUCGAAUCGCUCAACGGUUCGAAUUCCGGGUAGACCGCCAGGCUCGAGACCGGGAGAGAUGUGGGCUACUCGAGGGGUAGGGGUAAAAUCCUGUAAUCCUCCGGGGACGACCAGUGGCGAAGGCGCUACACUAGAACGGCUCUGACAGUGAGGGACGAAGCCCUGGGGCGCAAACCGG
RNAcentral lists this ribosomal RNA (253 nucleotides) under uncultured bacterium. RNAcentral's name for it is "partial 16S ribosomal RNA". It matches the Rfam family "Archaeal small subunit ribosomal RNA", at positions 474 to 727 of the family's 1478-position model. The record is from RNAcentral.